UAAACUCAAAUAGAAAUGAGGGCCGCUAAAUCAUACAUGAGGAUUCCUGGAAGUAGCUAUUGUUUUGAAAACCACAUAUUGACAUUUUCUACAUAAUAUGGUAUUUUUCUUUAUAUUUGUUAAACAUUUCCCAAUUAUAUUGCUAAUCUGGUGCUUGCAGCAAUCAGAAGUAUUGUAGACAGCAUGUGCCCUUGGCCACAGGUUUGACAUCUCUGAUCUAUUCUACUUCCCUCCAUCUCCAGGUGAGGAAACCAAGGCCGAGAGGGAAGCAGUAUCCAUUGUAACAUCAAACAACUUUCUAAAAAGAAACAACAAAAAGCCCAUAAUUGUCUGUAUCCAGUGCCAGAGGUCAAGCCAAUUCAACUAGCAUUUAUUAAGCACCUACUAUGUGCCAGCCACUGUGCUAAGUGCCUGGGAUGCAAGAAAGACAAAAACAAUCCCUGCUCUCAAGGAACUGAAAAUCUCAUGGGGAAGACGGCUUGCCAGACCAUGUUUCUGAACUUUAAAGAAUAAAUUAAAAGUAGAUGCCAAAUGGGGUAGUGUCACCAGGACUCCAAGAAGGCCUGCCUUGGCUAGCAGCCAGGAAGAAACAGAGACUCAUCAUCUACUCUGCUACUUCAAGUACUUGCUGCCUACCCCUCUUACUCAAGGAAUGAUGUUUGAGUAAUAUUAUCAUUGCGAUUGUGAAGGGCAUGACCAUACCCAUGAUUCUGAGAUGAGGAACUGAGGCAUACAAGGUAAAGUAACUUGCCCACGGUCACUCAGCUAGUAAAUGUCUGAGGCCAGAUUUGAACUCAC
Molecule: long non-coding RNA, 798 nt
Filed under: Vombatus ursinus (common wombat)
Lineage: Eukaryota; Metazoa; Chordata; Mammalia; Diprotodontia; Vombatidae
Description: lncRNA (ENSVURG00010015804.1)
Source: RNAcentral